Molecule: ribosomal RNA, 472 nt
Filed under: uncultured bacterium
Lineage: Bacteria
Description: partial 16S ribosomal RNA
Rfam family: Bacterial small subunit ribosomal RNA
Source: RNAcentral
GACGAACGCUGGCGGCGUGCUUAACACAUGCAAGUCGAACGCUGAAGCUUGGUGCUUGCACUGGGUGGAUGAGUGGCGAACGGGUGAGUAAUAAGUGAGUAACCUGCCCUCUACUCUGGGAUAAGCCUGGGAAACUGGGUCUAAUACUGGAUACGACAUGUCACCGCAUGGUGGUGUGUGGAAAGGGUUUUACUGGUUUUGGAUGGGCUCACGGCCUAUCAGCUUGUUGGUGGGGUAAUGGCUCACCAAGGCGACGACGGGUAGCCGGCCUGAGAGGGUGACCGGCCACACUGGGACUGAGACACGGCCCAGACUCCUACGGGAGGCAGCUGUGGGGAAUAUUGCACAAUGGGCGGAAGCCUGAUGCAGCGACGCCGCGUGAGGGAUGACGGCCUUCGGGUUGUAAACCUCUUUCAGCACGGAAGAAGCGAAAGUGACGGUACGUGCAGAAGAAGCGCCGGCUAACUACGUG